AAGUCCUACGGGACGCAGCAGUGGGGAAUAUUGCACAAUGGGGGAAACCCUGAUGCAGCAACGCCGCGUGAAGGAAGACGGUUUUCGGAUUGUAAACUUCUGUUCUUAGUGAAGAAGAAUGACGGUAGCUAAGGAGCAAGCCACGGCUAACUACGUGCCAGCAGCCGCGGUAAUACGUAGGGGGCAAGCGUUAUCCGGAUUUACUGGGUGUAAAGGGAGCGUAGACGGUUAAUCAAGUCAGAAGUGAAAACCCAGGGCUCAACCUUGGGACUGCUUUUGAAACUGAGUAGCUAGAGUGCAGGAGG
RNAcentral lists this ribosomal RNA (305 nucleotides) under uncultured bacterium. RNAcentral describes it as "bacterial SSU rRNA". It matches the Rfam family "Bacterial small subunit ribosomal RNA", at positions 334 to 655 of the family's 1533-position model. The record is from RNAcentral.